CGGGUGAGUAACGCGUGAGGAACCGUCGUCCGUUGGGUAGGUAGGGGGAAAGUAAACUAAGUUAAGUAAAUAGCUGCUAAUACCGCAUAAUGCAACUAAGUCGCAUGGCUUUGGUUGCCAAAGAUUUAUCGCUCUAAGAUGGCCUCGCGUCUGAUUAGAUAGUUGGCGGGGUAACGGCCCACCAAGUCGACGAUCAGUAGCCGGACUGAGAGGUUGGCCGGCCACAUUGGGACUGAGACACGGCCCAGACUCCUACGGAAGGCAGCAG
RNAcentral lists this ribosomal RNA (268 nucleotides) under uncultured bacterium. RNAcentral describes it as "partial 16S ribosomal RNA". It matches the Rfam family "Bacterial small subunit ribosomal RNA", at positions 100 to 354 of the family's 1533-position model. The record is from RNAcentral.